RNAcentral lists this ribosomal RNA (807 nucleotides) under uncultured bacterium. Its description in RNAcentral is "bacterial SSU rRNA". It matches the Rfam family "Bacterial small subunit ribosomal RNA", at positions 1 to 761 of the family's 1533-position model. The record is from RNAcentral.
AAGGCGAAGAGUUUGAUCCUGGCUCAGGACGAACGCUGGCGGCGUGCUUAACAAAGCUCAGCAUGCAAGUCGAACGGAAAGGUCUCUUCGGAGACACUCGAGUGGCGAACGGGUGAGUAACACGUGGGCAAUCUGCCCUGCACUUCGGGAUAAGCCUGGGAACCGAGUAUACUGGGUCUAAUACCGGAUAGGACCUCAAGACGCAUGUCUUCUGGUGGAAAGCUUUUGCGGUGUGGGAUGGGCCCGCGGCCUAUCAGCUUGUUGGUGGGGUGACGGCCUACCAAGGCGACGACGGGUAGCCGGCCAAACUGAGAGGGUGUCCGGCCACACUGGGACUGAGAUACGGACGCGAUACGCCCAGACUCCUACGGGAGGCAGCAGUGGGGAAUAUUGCACAAUGGGCGCAAGCCUGAUGCAGCGACGCCGCGUGGGGGAUGACGGCCUUCGGGUUGUAAACCUCUUCCCGGUUCAGCAGGGACGAAGCGCAAGUGGCGGUACCUGCAGAAGAAGCACCGGCCAACUACGUGCCAGCAGCCGCGGUAAUCCAAUUACGUAGGGUGCGAGCGUUGUCCGGAAUUACUGGGCGUAAAGAGCUCGUAGGUGGUUUGUCGCGUUGUUCGUGAAAUCUCACGGCUUAACUGUGAGCGUGCGGGCGAUACGGGCAGACUAGAGUACUGCAGGGGAGACUGGAAUUCCAAAUCGCGUGGUGUAGCGGUGGAAUGCGCAGAUAUCAGGAGGAACACCGGUGGCGAAGGCGCGGAAUUAGCGCGGUCUCUGGGCAGUAACUGACGCUGAGGAGCGAAAGCG